GAGCGCAACGCAUCGCCAGCCUUGGCUGGCUCUGAAGAGACCCCCGGGUCUUUCAGGUAACAGGGCCGCCGUUAAGGUGGCCUUUUUACUUUUG
RNAcentral lists this small RNA (94 nucleotides) under Leclercia adecarboxylata. RNAcentral's name for it is "Enterobacterial sRNA STnc70". It matches the Rfam family "Enterobacterial sRNA STnc70". Lineage: Bacteria; Pseudomonadati; Pseudomonadota; Gammaproteobacteria; Enterobacterales; Enterobacteriaceae. The record is from RNAcentral.